RNAcentral lists this ribosomal RNA (487 nucleotides) under uncultured bacterium. Its description in RNAcentral is "bacterial SSU rRNA". It matches the Rfam family "Bacterial small subunit ribosomal RNA", at positions 501 to 987 of the family's 1533-position model. The record is from RNAcentral.
CUACGUGCCAGCAGCCGCGGUAAUACGUAGGGUGCGAGCGUUAAUCGGAAUUACUGGGCGUAAAGCGAGCGCAGACGGUUACUUAAGCAGGAUGUGAAAUCCCCGGGCUCAACCUGGGAACUGCGUUCUGAACUGGGUGACUAGAGUGUGUCAGAGGGAGGUAGAAUUCCACGUGUAGCAGUGAAAUGCGUAGAGAUGUGGAGGAAUACCGAUGGCGAAGGCAGCCUCCUGGGAUAACACUGACGUUCAUGCUCGAAAGCGUGGGUGGCAAACAGGAUUAGAUACCCUGGUAGUCCACGCCCUAAACGAUGUCAAUUAGCUGUUGGGCAACUUGAUUGCUUAGUAGCGUAGCUAACGCGUGAAAUUGACCGCCUGGGGAGUACGGUCGCAAGAUUAAAACUCAAAGGAAUUGACGGGGACCCGCACAAGCGGUGGAUGAUGUGGAUUAAUUCGAUGCAACGCGAAGAACCUUACCUGGUCUUGACAU